UGACCUCGGAUCAGGUAGGGAUACCCGCUGAACUUAAGCAUAUCAAUAAGCGGAGGAAAAGAAACCAACAGGGAUUGCCCUAGUAACGGCGAGUGAAGCGGCAACAGCUCAAAUUUGAAAGCUGGCCUUCGGGUCCGCAUUGUAAUUUGUAGAGGAUGCUUUGGGGCAGCCGCCUGUCUAAGUUCCUUGGAACAGGACGUCAUAGAGGGUGAGAAUCCCGUAUGUGACAGGACAUGGCACCCUAUGUAAAGCUCCUUCGACGAGUCGAGUUGUUUGGGAAUGCAGCUCUAAAUGGGAGGUAAAUUUCUUCUAAAGCUAAAUACCGGCGAGAGACCGAUAGCGCACAAGUAGAGUGAUCGAAAGAUGAAAAGCACUUUGGAAAGAGAGUUAAAAAGCACGUGAAAUUGUUGAAAGGGAAGCGCUUGCAAUCAGACUUGUUUUGACUGUUCGGCCGGUCUUCUGACCGGUUUAUUCAGUCUGGACAGGCCAGCAUCAGUUUUGGCGGCCGGAUAAAGGCCCAGGGAAUGUGGCUCUCGCUUCGGCGGGAGUGUUAUAGCCCUGGGUGUAAUACGGCCAGCCGGGACUGAGGUCCGCGCUUCGGCUAGGAUGCUGGCGUAAUGGUUGUAAGCGA
Molecule: ribosomal RNA, 631 nt
Filed under: Aureobasidium thailandense
Lineage: Eukaryota; Fungi; Ascomycota; Dothideomycetes; Dothideales; Saccotheciaceae
Description: eukaryotic LSU rRNA
Rfam family: Eukaryotic large subunit ribosomal RNA
Source: RNAcentral